UUGGGAAUCUUCGGCAAUGGACGGAAGUCUGACCGAGCAACGCCGCGUGAGUGAAGAAGGUUUUCGGAUCGUAAACCUCUGUUGUUAGAGAAGAACGUUGGUAGGAGUGGAAAAUCUACCAAGUGACGGUAACUAACCAGAAAGGGACGGCUAACUACGUGCCAGCAGCCGCGGUAAUACGUAGGUCCCGGGCGUUGUCCGGUUUUAUUGGGCGUAAAGCGAGCGCAGGCGGUUCUUUAAGUCUGAAGUUAAAGGCAGUGGCUUAACCAUUGUACGCUUUGGAAACUGGAGGACUUGAGUGCAGAAGGGGGGAGUGGAAUUCCAUGUGUAGCGGUGAAAUGCGUAGAUAUAUGGAGGAACACCGGUGGCGAAAGCGGCUCUCUGGUCUGUAACUGACGCUGAGGCUCGAAAGCGUGGGGAGCAAACAGG
This 429-nucleotide ribosomal RNA is filed under the name Bacillota bacterium. RNAcentral's name for it is "Firmicutes bacterium partial 16S ribosomal RNA". It matches the Rfam family "Bacterial small subunit ribosomal RNA", at positions 355 to 776 of the family's 1533-position model. The record is from RNAcentral. Lineage: Bacteria; Bacillati; Bacillota.